This 465-nucleotide ribosomal RNA is filed under the name uncultured bacterium. Its description in RNAcentral is "partial 16S ribosomal RNA". It matches the Rfam family "Bacterial small subunit ribosomal RNA", at positions 28 to 507 of the family's 1533-position model. The record is from RNAcentral.
GACGAACGCUGGCGGCGUGCUUAACACAUGCAAGUCGAACGGAAAGGCCCUGCUUGCAGGGUACUCGAGUGGCGAACGGGUGAGUAACACGUGGGUUAUCUGCCCUUCACUUCUGGAUAAGCCUGGGAAACUGGGUCUAAUACCGUAUAGGAGCCAUUUUUAGUGUGAGGGUGGGAAAGUUUUUUCGGUGUAGGAUGAGCUCGCGGCCUAUCGGCUUGUUGGUGGGGUAAUGGCCUACCAAGGCGGCGACGGGUAGCCGGCCUGAGAGGGUGGACGGCCACAUUGGGAAUGAGAUACGGCCCAGAAUCCUACGGGAGGGAGCAGUGGGGAAUAUUGCACAAUGGGCGCGAGCCUGAUGCAGCGAAGCCGCGUGGGGGAUGACGGGCUUCGGGUUGUAAACUCCUUUCGAGCGGGACGAAGCUUUUUGUGACGGUACCUAGAUAAGAAGCACCGGCUAACUACGUG